Molecule: long non-coding RNA, 2400 nt
Organism: Antechinus flavipes (yellow-footed antechinus)
Lineage: Eukaryota; Metazoa; Chordata; Mammalia; Dasyuromorphia; Dasyuridae
Exons: 3
Source: RefSeq, a predicted model, not a curated record
UGCAGCUCGCGCCCUGGCCGCGGCCGGGCUGCUGCUGGGGAUGCUGCUGCGGGGAUGCAGGAUGAGGAUGCUGAGGAUGCUGAGGUCGCUCCCUCCUCCUUAGCGCCCCCCUCCUCUCCUUUCCCCUCCUCCCCGGCCAGCCUCUCCAUUCUCCCGGUGCCUCCUGCGCCCGCGCCAGCCAGCAGGGGAAAGGGUCCUGUGCCGCCGCCCGGGCUGCCCCACGCCGCCCCACGCCGCCAGCCGCCACCACUGCCGUCGCCGGGAGGCUCUGCCCUCGCGCCUCGUCUCGCCUCGCCUCGCUGCCUGAGCUCCAGAUGUGGCCUUAGGCAUGGUGAUGGUAGCAGUGGAUUUUCCCCAAACUCCGUGCACUAAGUUGCCAGACGCCGAGCCGCGGUCACCCGGGAGCCGGACCGGACGCCCUCCUCACGCAGCCCCUCGAAGCCCGUCCGGAGCUCGCGGCCGCCGAGGGCAGCAGCGGUGAGCACAAUUCCCUCUCUUUCCCUGGCACCGAGAUCGUUUUCUUGGAGAGUCUCUAUGGACUUUGGCAAAUGUUUUUGGCCCCCUUCCAGGAGAUUGGGUUUAUACCAGUCCAAAUGAAUUGGGCAUUUAAUCAGUCACCCAGUGAACAUGCUGCUCCGGGCCCUCUGGUGUCUUCUUUAUAAUUAAUUUUUAACAUUUGUUUUCAGCAUAGAACGUGUGCCUUUAUCCUCCCUGAAAUAAAAACAGUCUGCACAUUACCAAGUCCUGGCGGUGCACACAACGCACCGGUUUUUUGUCCCCCUCCCGCUAUUAACUGCCAGUAAGUAAGACGGGGCCAGAUAAUCAGACCCCCGGCUCCCUCCCCGCCCGCUUGGGGUAUAAUCUCCCCCCAGCUCUGCCGCCCCCGCCAGGCGGGAGGGUUUAUCAGCAGGAGCGUUCCUCAGAUGGGACCCUGGCGGGUGAGAGCGCACCCCCUCUCCUGGAGCCCUCCCCCGGGGCGCCCCGAUUUUGGCGCCAGCUUGGUAGUUAAAGGAGCUUUUAGCCAGAAGAUGCUGGAGGCUGUUCCGGUGUCCUUCAGGCCGGAUCCUCCAGGCAGACCAGACUCUGCCUCUCCUUGGGACUAAGUGCUCUGUGUGCCGCAGGCUCUGUCCAAGGUACCGGGGAAAGCUAACGCCGGAAAUACAGGAGGGAAGCGAGUGCAGGCCCCUCCCCUCGCCCUGGCACUGCCUGCCACGGCGCCCCCUGGGGGGGGGGGAGCAUGUGCCGAUCUUUUUGAAUUUUGUUUGGAACGCGUUCCCCUUGUGCCGGGCCCCCAGACAGACAAAAACAAAGCACUCCCUGAGUUAGAAGUCUGUGAGGCGCCUUGUAAACUCGGACGUAUUGUGGAGCAUCAGGCGUUGCUCUCGGGGUCAUGGACUCCAGGUUAGCGAAGGCAGGUUGCCCUCGUCGGACUCUCGCUCAGUAGAACAGGAAGGAGAUCUUCUCUGCUUCCCUAUCAGCCUGCGGGCAGGGCCCGGCGGGAGAGGCCUGUUAGUGUGUGGGCCGGGGUCUCCCUGGGGCUCCCUGAUCCCCGGGCCCGAGGGCCGGGUCGGGCACCACUGCUGCCGCUUCCCCAUCAGCCUGCGGACUCUGACGGCCAGGCCGCCUCUCCGGUCACUCAGCGCAGGGCCCGGCGGGAGAGGCCGUUAGUGUGUGGGCCGGGGUCUCUCUGGGGCUCCCUGAUCCCCGGGCCUGGCCGGUGCCGAGGGCCGGGUCGGGCGCCGCCGCUGCCGCUUCCCCAUUAGCCUGCGGGCUCUGAUGGCCGGGCCGCCUCUCCGGUCACUCAGCGCAGGGCCCGCCGGGAGAGGCCGUUAGUGUGUGGGCCGGGGUCUCCCUGAGGCUCCCUGAUCCCCGGGCCCGGCCGGUGCCGAGGGCCGGGUCGGGCGCCGCCGCUGCCGCUUCUCCAUCAUCCCCCAAACUCCGAGGGCUCCCAGCUGGAUCCCGCAGGCGGUUAUCGGGUGCUUCGCGUAUGGACCAGAUACUAGAGACUCGAAGGCAAAGCCGGGCCAUCCGCCUGGGGGCGCCCGGGAGAAUCCGCAGACAGUGUUGGCUAAAUACCUGAAAACCUGGCGGAGGGGGCGGAGUCAGGCAGGCCGCUUGCGAGAGGUGGUGAUUGAAGUGGGCCUUGGAGGGGCCAGAGGCAGGGGGCGGAGGAGGAGGGUGGGGAGGAGCGGGACAGCCACGGGGACAGCCCCCGUCCCACCAAGACCCCAGAGCAGAGCUUUUCUGUGAGGAGCCCUCCUUGCCUCGCCCCUCGUUCGCUCUCCUUGGGAUCCACCUCGCAGAUAUCCUGGGAUCUCUGGUGUGUCAGGGUUUGGGGAGGAUGGGAGGAUCAGAGUCCGGAGCUCCCCUCCUCCCGGGAGCACUGGUGGCCACGGCCGC